GGCCGGGUCCUGUGCGACCGGGCCCCGUGAACCGGGUCAGGGCCGGGAGGCAGCAGCUCUCAGCGGAAACCCCGGAGCGCCGCAGGCAGCCUGGCCGUC
RNAcentral lists this signal recognition particle RNA (99 nucleotides) under Acidimicrobiia bacterium. Its description in RNAcentral is "signal recognition particle sRNA small type". It matches the Rfam family "Bacterial small signal recognition particle RNA". Rfam says of the family: The signal recognition particle (SRP) is a universally conserved ribonucleoprotein involved in the co-translational targeting of proteins to membranes. Archaeal SRP consists of a 7S RNA and homologues of the eukaryotic SRP19 and SRP54 proteins. Lineage: Bacteria; Bacillati; Actinomycetota; Acidimicrobiia. The record is from RNAcentral.